RNAcentral lists this long non-coding RNA (885 nucleotides) under Ananas comosus (pineapple). RNAcentral's name for it is "long non-coding RNA (ACOM_LNC037574)". The record is from RNAcentral. Lineage: Eukaryota; Viridiplantae; Streptophyta; Magnoliopsida; Poales; Bromeliaceae.
CCAUAUAUGAGCAUUUUUCAUAUCAUAGGCUAGGUCAAACCCACCGAACCGUCGCGUAGGGUCUCGAUUCGCCGAACAAAGUUGUCCACGAGUCUCUAGAUACCCUAAAAGUAAUCAGCGAAGAGAUACGAGGGCAUUACAACCAUCCUAUAACAUCAAACAUUAACCUAGGAGCAAAAGGGGCAAAACUCACCUCAAGAGUAGAAAUCUUCGCCUAAGCUCCAAAAGAGAGCUAGGACCCUUCCAAUCCAAGCCUUAGGAAGGUUCUAAUCCAAUCAAUUUGGGUCCAAAAGCCCUAGAUCAAAAAUGCCCAAAAAAAUGAACCCUAAACAUCAAAUCUAGGGUUUCAUCUCCAAAAACCUAGCAAAACAAGAUCUAGAGGGAGGAACCUUGCCACAUACCUCUAGGAUGCUCCAAUCCAAGCUCAAAAUCUUCUAGGGUUGAAGAUUGAUCCACCACAAGGCUCCAUAAGCAAGCUCCAAGCCUCCAAAAGUGGGAAAUAAGGAAGAAGAUGGUGCUCCAAGCAAGCUCUUCUCCUCUUCUUCUCCUUCUUCUCCUUCUUCCUCUCUUCUUCUCUCUCUAGAAUGCAAAGGGUUGAGAGAAAAUGAGAGUGAGAGGAGAGGAGAGGCUGCCUAUAGCCUCUAAGGUAACAAAAUCCAGCUAGGCCCUCUAAAAACCCAAAAUUACAUCAGCCCGAACUGGGCAGUUUUCGCCCAGAGGGACCGGUCUCUCCCCAGCAGGGACCGGUCUCUCGCUGCGAACCCGAAAACCCAGCGUUCGGGAACCGGUCUCUCCCUGCGCGGGACCGGUCUCUCACUGCGAAGACGCGUUCGGGAACCGGUCUCGCCUGCCAGGGACCGGUUGCCUCAGGCUGCCUCAACACUG